RNAcentral lists this ribosomal RNA (368 nucleotides) under uncultured organism. RNAcentral's name for it is "bacterial SSU rRNA". It matches the Rfam family "Bacterial small subunit ribosomal RNA", at positions 526 to 896 of the family's 1533-position model. The record is from RNAcentral.
CGUAGGUGGCAAGCGUCGUCCGGAUUUACUGGGCGUAAAGCGAACGCAGGCGGAUUCUUAAGUAGGAAGUGAAAGGUUGGAGCUUAACUCUAACACUGCUCCCUAUACUGGGAAUCUUGAGUAGCGGAGAGGAAAACGGAACAAGUUGUGUAGCGGUGAAAUGCGUUGAUAUAACUUGGAACACCAAUGGCGAAAGCAGUUUUCUGGACGCAGACUGACGCUGAGGUUCGAAAGCCAAGGUAGCAAACAGGAUUAGAUACCCUGGUAGUCUUGGCCAUAAACGAUGUUCACUAGGUGUUGGGGGGUAACCCUCGGUGCCGCAGCUAACGCAUUAAGUGAACCGCCUGGGGACUACGGCCGCAAGGUUG